This 107-nucleotide small nuclear RNA is filed under the name Cavia aperea (Brazilian guinea pig). The record is from RNAcentral. Lineage: Eukaryota; Metazoa; Chordata; Mammalia; Rodentia; Caviidae.
AUGCUCACUUCAGCAGCACAUCUACUAAAAUUGGAACGAUACAAAGAAGAUUAGCAUGGCCCCUGCGCAAGAAUGACAUGCAAAUUCAUGAAGCAUUCCAUAUUUUU